This 118-nucleotide ribosomal RNA is filed under the name Aotus nancymaae (Ma's night monkey). The record is from RNAcentral. Lineage: Eukaryota; Metazoa; Chordata; Mammalia; Primates; Aotidae.
GUCCACGGCCAUACCACCCUGAACGUGCCCAAUCUCUUUUGAUCUUGGAAGCUAAGCAGGGUCGGGCCUGGUUAGUAUUUGGAUGGGAGGCCACCUGGAAUCCCGGGUUCUGUAGGCU